This 440-nucleotide ribosomal RNA is filed under the name uncultured bacterium. RNAcentral describes it as "partial 16S ribosomal RNA". It matches the Rfam family "Bacterial small subunit ribosomal RNA", at positions 338 to 795 of the family's 1533-position model. The record is from RNAcentral.
CCUACGGGUGGCAGCAGUGGGGAAUAUUGCACAAUGGGGGAAACCCUGAUGCAGCGACGCCGCGUGAGUGAAGAAGUAAUUCGUUACGUAAAGCUCUAUCAGCAGGGAAGAAAAUGACGGUACCUGAGUAAGAAGCCCUGGCUAACUACGUGCCAGCAGCCGCGGUAAUACGUAGGGGGCAAGCGUUAUCCGGAUUUACUGGGUGUAAAGGGGGCGUAGACGGUGGGCCAAGUCAGGAGUGAAAUGCUGCAGCUUAACUGCGGAACUGCUUUGGAAACUGGCGAACUUGAGUGCGGGAGGGGUAAGCGGAAUGCGUGGUGUAGCGGUGAAAUGCGUAGAUAUUAGGAAGAACACCGGUGGCGAAGGCGGCUUACUGGACCGUAACUGACGUUGAGGCUCGAAAGCGUGGGGAGCAAACAGGAUUAGAUACCCGGGUAGUC